Molecule: ribosomal RNA, 429 nt
Filed under: Chloroflexota bacterium
Lineage: Bacteria; Bacillati; Chloroflexota
Description: Chloroflexi bacterium partial 16S ribosomal RNA
Rfam family: Bacterial small subunit ribosomal RNA
Source: RNAcentral
UGGGGAAUAUUGCACAAUGGGCGCAAGCCUGAUGCAGCCAUGCCGCGUGUAUGAAGAAGGCCUUCGGGUUGUAAAGCACUUUCAGCGGGGAGGAAGGCGAUAAGGUUAAUAACCUCAUCGAUUGACGUUACCCGCAGAAGAAGCACCGGCUAACUCCGUGCCAGCAGCCGCGGUAAUACGUAGGGCGCGAGCGUUGUCCGGAAUUAUUGGGCGUAAAGGGCUUGUAGGCGGCUUGUUGCGCCUGCUGUGAAAACGCGGGGCUUAACUUCGCGCGUGCAGUGGGUACGGGCAGGCUUGAGUGUGGUAGGGGUGACUGGAAUUCCAGGUGUAGCGGUGGAAUGCGCAGAUAUCUGGAGGAACACCGAUGGCGAAGGCAGGUCACUGGGCCAUUACUGACGCUGAGGAGCGAAAGCAUGGGUAGCGAACAGG